GCCGGGUAAGCUCUUUGGCAAGGGCGGGGCCAUCAAAGCCCGAAAAAUGUGUCCGAACUAACAGUACGACUAAAUACAUAGGCGGUUCGAUUCCGUCACCCGGCUCCA
This 108-nucleotide transfer RNA is filed under the name Erwinia phage Hena1. Its description in RNAcentral is "tRNA-OTHER". The record is from RNAcentral. Lineage: Duplodnaviria; Heunggongvirae; Uroviricota; Caudoviricetes.